This 482-nucleotide ribosomal RNA is filed under the name uncultured bacterium. Its description in RNAcentral is "bacterial SSU rRNA". It matches the Rfam family "Bacterial small subunit ribosomal RNA", at positions 506 to 987 of the family's 1533-position model. The record is from RNAcentral.
UGCCAGCAGCCGCGGUAAUACGUAGGUGGCAAGCGUUGUCCGGAAUUAUUGGGCGUAAAGCGCGCGCAGGCGGAUUGGUCAGUCUGUCUUAAAAGUUCGGGGCUUAACCCCGUGAUGGGAUGGAAACUGCCAAUCUAGAGUAUCGGAGAGGAAAGUGGAAUUCCUAGUGUAGCGGUGAAAUGCGUAGAUAUUAGGAAGAACACCAGUGGCGAAGGCGACUUUCUGGACGAAAACUGACGCUGAGGCGCGAAAGCCAGGGGAGCGAACGGGAUUAGAUACCCCGGUAGUCCUGGCCGUAAACGAUGGGUACUAGGUGUAGGAGGUAUCGACCCCUUCUGUGCCGGAGUUAACGCAAUAAGUACCCCGCCUGGGGAGUACGACCGCAAGGUUGAAACUCAAAGGAAUUGACGGGGGCCCGCACAAGCGGUGGAGUAUGUGGUUUAAUUCGACGCAACGCGAAGAACCUUACCAGGUCUUGACAU